Molecule: ribosomal RNA, 254 nt
Filed under: uncultured bacterium
Lineage: Bacteria
Description: partial 16S ribosomal RNA
Rfam family: Bacterial small subunit ribosomal RNA
Source: RNAcentral
UACGAAGGGGGGCUAGCGUUGCUCGGAAUCACUGGGCGUAAAGGGUGCGUAGGCGGGUCUUUAAGUCAGGGGUGAAAUCCUGGAGCUCAACUCCAGAACUGCCCUUGAUACUGAAGAUCUUGAGUUCGGGAGAGGUGAGUGGAACUGCGAGUGUAGAGGUGAAAUUCGUAGAUAUUCGCAAGAACACCAGUGGCGAAGGCGGCUCACUGGCCCGAUACUGACGCUGAGGCACGAAAGCGUGGGGAGCAAACAGG